UUGUGAGACAACUUCAACAAGAAGCGGCUGACAGCUUAAAAAAAUUAACUAUGUUAGAGUCUCCACUGGAAGGUAUAUCACAUUAUCACAUUAAUUUGGAUGAGAUACAGGCCCCAAAGAAGAAAUUAUUUCAAGUGGAAAGUCACCUGAAGAAAAAAAUGAAGAAUUAAGAAAACUUUUUGAGUUAAUAUCAUCACUGGAGUAUAAUGUGGAUCGAAUAAGAAAGAAAAAUCAUGAAUUAGAAGAAGAGGCAACUGG
Molecule: long non-coding RNA, 258 nt
Filed under: Homo sapiens (human)
Lineage: Eukaryota; Metazoa; Chordata; Mammalia; Primates; Hominidae
Description: HSALNT0400660
Source: RNAcentral